RNAcentral lists this ribosomal RNA (3071 nucleotides) under Campylobacter jejuni. RNAcentral describes it as "23S ribosomal RNA". It matches the Rfam family "Bacterial large subunit ribosomal RNA". Lineage: Bacteria; Pseudomonadati; Campylobacterota; Epsilonproteobacteria; Campylobacterales; Campylobacteraceae. The record is from RNAcentral.
AAAAAAGGUAAGCUACUAAGAGCGAAUGGUGGAUGCCUUGACUGGUAAAGGCGAUGAAGGACGUACUAGACUGCGAUAAGCUACGGGGAGCUGUCAAGAAGCUUUGAUCCGUAGAUUUCCGAAUGGGGCAACCCAAUGUAUAGAGAUAUACAUUACCUAUAUAGGAGCGAACGAGGGGAAUUGAAACAUCUUAGUACCCUCAGGAAAAGAAAUCAAUAGAGAUUGCGUCAGUAGCGGCGAGCGAAAGCGCAAGAGGGCAAACCCAGUGCUUGCACUGGGGGUUGUAGGACUGCAAUGUGCAAGAGGUAAGUUUAGCAGAACAUUCUGGAAAGUAUAACCAUAGAGGGUGAUAGUCCCGUAUGCGAAAAACAAACCUUAGCUAGCAGUAUCCUGAGUAGGGCGGGACACGAGGAAUCCUGUCUGAAUCCGGGUCGACCACGAUCCAACCCUAAAUACUAAUACCAGAUCGAUAGUGCACAAGUACCGUGAGGGAAAGGUGAAAAGAACUGAGGUGAUCAGAGUGAAAUAGAACCUGAAACCAUUUGCUUACAAUCAUUCAGAGCCCUAUGUAGCAAUACAGGGUGAUGGACUGCCUUUUGCAUAAUGAGCCUGCGAGUUGUGGUGUCUGGCAAGGUUAAGCAAACGCGAAGCCGUAGCGAAAGCGAGUCUGAAUAGGGCGCUUAGUCAGAUGCUGCAGACCCGAAACGAAGUGAUCUAUCCAUGAGCAAGUUGAAGCUAGUGUAAGAACUAGUGGAGGACUGAACCCAUAGGCGUUGAAAAGCCCCGGGAUGACUUGUGGAUAGGGGUGAAAGGCCAAUCAAACUUCGUGAUAGCUGGUUCUCUCCGAAAUAUAUUUAGGUAUAGCGUUGUGUCGUAAUAUAAGGGGGUAGAGCACUGAAUGGGCUAGGGCAUACACCAAUGUACCAAACCCUAUCAAACUCCGAAUACCUUAUAUGUAAUCACAGCAGUCAGGCGGCGAGUGAUAAAAUCCGUCGUCAAGAGGGAAACAACCCAGACUACCAGCUAAGGUCCCUAAAUCUUACUUAAGUGGAAAACGAUGUGAAGUUACUUAAACAACCAGGAGGUUGGCUUAGAAGCAGCCAUCCUUUAAAGAAAGCGUAAUAGCUCACUGGUCUAGUGAUUUUGCGCGGAAAAUAUAACGGGGCUAAAGUAAGUACCGAAGCUGUAGACUUGCACACAACUUAGAUUAUUUAAGUUUAGAAUAUGAGAAACUAAGUUAUAUGUUUAGUUAUAUUUUUACUGAUUUUUAUAGAGUAAAGAUAGAAAUAAAACUUAGUAAAAUCAGUAAAAAUAUUCUUAGACUAAAGUUAAGUAGUUUAAGUUGUGUGCAAGUGGUAGGAGAGCGUUCUAUUUGCGUCGAAGGUAUACCGGUAAGGAGUGCUGGAGCGAAUAGAAGUGAGCAUGCAGGCAUGAGUAGCGAUAAUUAAUGUGAGAAUCAUUAACGCCGUAAACCCAAGGUUUCCUACGCGAUGCUCGUCAUCGUAGGGUUAGUCGGGUCCUAAGUCGAGUCCGAAAGGGGUAGACGAUGGCAAAUUGGUUAAUAUUCCAAUACCAACAUUAGUGUGCGAUGGAAGGACGCUUAGGGCUAAGGGGGCUAGCGGAUGGAAGUGCUAGUCUAAGGUCGUAGGAGGUUAUACAGGCAAAUCCGUAUAACAAUACUCCGAGAACUGAAAGGCUUUUUGAAGUCUUCGGAUGGAUAGAAGAACCCCUGAUGCCGUCGAGCCAAGAAAAGUUUCUAAGUUUAGCUAAUGUUGCCCGUACCGUAAACCGACACAGGUGGGUGGGAUGAGUAUUCUAAGGCGCGUGGAAGAACUCUCUUUAAGGAACUCUGCAAAAUAGCACCGUAUCUUCGGUAUAAGGUGUGGUUAGCUUUGUAUUAGGAUUUACUCCGAAAGCAAGGAAACUUACAACAAAGAGUCCCUCCCGACUGUUUACCAAAAACACAGCACUCUGCUAACUCGUAAGAGGAUGUAUAGGGUGUGACGCCUGCCCGGUGCUCGAAGGUUAAUUGAUGGGGUUAGCAUUAGCGAAGCUCUUGAUCGAAGCCCGAGUAAACGGCGGCCGUAACUAUAACGGUCCUAAGGUAGCGAAAUUCCUUGUCGGUUAAAUACCGACCUGCAUGAAUGGCGUAACGAGAUGGGAGCUGUCUCAAAGAGGGAUCCAGUGAAAUUGUAGUGGAGGUGAAAAUUCCUCCUACCCGCGGCAAGACGGAGAGACCCCGUGGACCUUUACUACAGCUUGACACUGCUACUUGGAUAAGAAUGUGCAGGAUAGGUGGGAGGCUUUGAGUAUAUGACGCCAGUUGUAUAUGAGCCAUUGUUGAGAUACCACUCUUUCUUAUUUGGGUAGCUAACCAGCUUGAGUUAUCCUCAAGUGGGACAAUGUCUGGUGGGUAGUUUGACUGGGGCGGUCGCCUCCCAAAUAAUAACGGAGGCUUACAAAGGUUGGCUCAGAACGGUUGGAAAUCGUUCGUAGAGUAUAAAGGUAUAAGCCAGCUUAACUGCAAGACAUACAAGUCAAGCAGAGACGAAAGUCGGUCUUAGUGAUCCGGUGGUUCUGUGUGGAAGGGCCAUCGCUCAAAGGAUAAAAGGUACCCCGGGGAUAACAGGCUGAUCUCCCCCAAGAGCUCACAUCGACGGGGAGGUUUGGCACCUCGAUGUCGGCUCAUCGCAUCCUGGGGCUGGAGCAGGUCCCAAGGGUAUGGCUGUUCGCCAUUUAAAGCGGUACGCGAGCUGGGUUCAGAACGUCGUGAGACAGUUCGGUCCCUAUCUGCCGUGGGCGUAAGAAGAUUGAAGAGAUUUGACCCUAGUACGAGAGGACCGGGUUGAACAAACCACUGGUGUAGCUGUUGUUCUGCCAAGAGCAUCGCAGCGUAGCUAAGUUUGGAAAGGAUAAACGCUGAAAGCAUCUAAGCGUGAAGCCAACUCUAAGAUGAAUCUUCUCUAAGCUCUCUAGAAGACUACUAGUUUGAUAGGCUGGGUGUGUAAUGGAUGAAAGUCCUUUAGCUGACCAGUACUAAUAGAGCGUUUGGCUUAUCUUUAAUAAAGCAU